RNAcentral lists this ribosomal RNA (450 nucleotides) under uncultured bacterium. Its description in RNAcentral is "bacterial SSU rRNA". It matches the Rfam family "Bacterial small subunit ribosomal RNA", at positions 354 to 796 of the family's 1533-position model. The record is from RNAcentral.
GUCGAGGAUCUUCGGCAAUGGGCGAAAGCCUGACCGAGCGACGCCGCGUGGGGGAUGAAGGCCUUCGGGUUGUAAACCCCUGUCAGGUGUUAUGAAAUUCCGUCGGUGAACAACCGGCGGAAUUGACAAAGGCACCAGAGGAAGCCAUGGCUAACUUCGUGCCAGCAGCCGCGGUAAUACGAAGAUGGCAAGCGUUGUUCGAAAUCACUGGGCAUAAAGGGCAUGUAGGCGGCUCGAUCCGUCAGGGGUGAAAUCCCCCGGCUUAACCGGGGAACUGCCUUUGAAACAAUCGGGCUAGAGGACCAGAGGGGAGAGUGGAAUUCCAGGUGGAGCGGUGAAAUGCGUAGAUAUCUGGAAGAACGCCGGUGGCGAAAGCGACUCUCUGGCUGGUUUCUGACGCUGAGGUGCGAAAGCUAGGGGAGCAAACGGGAUUAGAAACCCGUGUAGUCC